CUAGACGCGGGGCUGGGUGGGAACCUCUCUGACAUCGUCGUGUACCCAUUGCAUCUUUCAACCUUGGCCACUUUUCCCAAGUACAUAAAGACUCGGGGGAAAAAGAGCACCUGCGGUGGUCCAUGAAGGCCAUGUGAAGGCAUGCAUUAUCACUGCUACAUUAAGGAGCAUGUGGUGGCUAUUGGGAGCAUGAUUAAACAGUGGAUAACUUGAUGGUCCUGAAGUCAGGAAGAAGUCUGGGCCAGGACAUCGGCAAUAUACAGUGAGAAAUGUGUAUUCACUGAGGAGUUUUCCUCCUCACCUUCCCCAAGACCUGGAUUUUUCCUCCCACCUCCACUCCAGAAGCGAGUCCUUCAGGGCUGAUUCCACCUUCAAAUGAGCCUGCUACUGAACAUCCAGGACCACAGCAAGAAACCUGACAUUAUUUUUGCUCUCUUCAAAAAUAAUUCUGACUGAUCUCAUUUUCAAUUUAAAGUAACUGCAGUUACGGUAUAACUU
This is a long non-coding RNA of Sapajus apella (tufted capuchin), 498 nucleotides long. RefSeq lists it as uncharacterized. NCBI's taxonomy places the organism in Eukaryota, Metazoa, Chordata, Mammalia, Primates, Cebidae. The record is from RefSeq and is a predicted model, not a curated record. The transcript has 4 exons.